Molecule: long non-coding RNA, 498 nt
Filed under: Homo sapiens (human)
Lineage: Eukaryota; Metazoa; Chordata; Mammalia; Primates; Hominidae
Description: HSALNT0301249
Source: RNAcentral
UGGCAAAGAAACAAAUUCUUUUCAUUCCCAUUCCACCUGAGUUGCUGAGUUAGCAAAGAAGCAAAUUAUUUUCAAUCCCAAAGCUAAGAGGCAUCAGUCCCAUACAACAAGCAGAAAGGCAGUCCAAAGAUGGGGCUGAGAGUCACACUGUCAGCUCAGGAGUCACAGUGCCUGGGCUCCAAUCCCAGAUCCACCCCAUUGUAACCUGGGACAAGCUCUUCAAUAUCUGUGUGUCUUAGUUUCCUCAUCUGGAAGAGAACAGGGCGGAGCAGGAUGGGCAGACAGAGACAACGUCCAGCACAGGCAUCAACAUCACAGGCCAGGAGGGCCUUCCAGAAGCCAUCACUCCCUCCCCUGCCUCCAGGAGGGUCUGCACACCCACCUUUGUCAUGAAAGGCUGGUCUCCUUGUUCUAGAACACAUCUUCCCUAUGCUCUCCUGAGUAAACAUCCCAGUGAUUCUCUGAUGACGCUUAUUUAUAUCUCUGAAGUGCAACUGC